AGAGUAAAAAUGAAUUCCAAAAGUGUUGGAAUAGUAUUAGCGUUGUUGGACGCGAAAAGAAAUCAAAACGGAGUGAAAAACAGCAUUCUGGAGCUGUUGUACCGGUACAAGGGUGAUGGCUGUACCGGUACAACCAUCGCAGCCAGGCUGCGUAAUCUCGGGUUCGAAGGCUUCAGGCGCUGUACCGGUACAAGGCUGGCUUGUACCGGUACAAGCUCUGCGAAACAGGUUAACCCGAGGCUCGGUUUUCGCUCGGUAUAAGACCUUGUACCGGUACAAGGUCCCGUGUACCGGUACAAGGGCGCGCAGGCUGCGGGUUAAGUUGCAAAAUUUGAUAAAUGGAGGGCUUAUUAGCAUCUUGUUACAAUAGAGGACUUAACCCCCCUCUCUCACAGCAAUCUCCUCUCACUCUCUCCUCAGCUCACUCUCUCUCUAGCUCCCUCUCUCUCUCUAACCGGUUGAAGAGAAAAGGAAGGAGAAGAAAAAGAGAAGGAAAAAGAAGGAAAAAGAGAGGAAGAAAAGGAAGGAGAAGAAGGAGAAGAAGGUUUAG
RNAcentral lists this long non-coding RNA (550 nucleotides) under Ananas comosus (pineapple). RNAcentral's name for it is "long non-coding RNA (ACOM_LNC043156)". The record is from RNAcentral. Lineage: Eukaryota; Viridiplantae; Streptophyta; Magnoliopsida; Poales; Bromeliaceae.